This 2711-nucleotide long non-coding RNA is filed under the name Sus scrofa (pig). RNAcentral's name for it is "lncRNA (ENSSSCG00030069166.1)". Lineage: Eukaryota; Metazoa; Chordata; Mammalia; Artiodactyla; Suidae. The record is from RNAcentral.
CAUAGAUACCUAGCACUGUCUCAGGAGAUGAAGAAUGCUUAAGGAAGAUGAUUUCUAGGUUGUAUGAAGGAUGAGUUGCUGUGGACUUAAUUGCAUCUCCCUGUCCCACCCCCACCACGCACACAGAGAAAAAAAUUCGUUUGUUAAAGCCCUAAACCUUAAUGUGACUUUAUCUGGAGAUAAGAUCUUUAGGAAGUAAUUGUGAUUAAAUGAGUAAAUGCUCAAAGUUCAUAAGAGUAGAGCUCAAAUUCAUUAGGACCAUGGUCUCUAGGACUGUGAGAAAAUCAAUUUCUAUUUAAGCCACUUGGUGUGUGGUAGUUUGUUAUGACAGCGAAACCAACAAAGACAGAGGAGUCGAAGAAUGAGAAAGACUACUGCAGACGGAUCGGACAGAUGGGCAAAGGCCCUGAGAUGAGAGAGAGAAAUUUGAAGGGCUCUAAGUAAACGUGACUGUUCUCAGUCUUAUUCUCUCCUAAAGAGAUUUCAUCCCUCUUCCAAACCCGCCACAUCUAAGCAGAGGCCAAGUUCAAUUAUAUUUGCUUUCUCAGUACUUGGCAAUUCCCUGCCAUCUCUCUCUGGCCCUCUCACCUUGGUUACUGCACCAAUAUCCUACUACGCUCCUUGCCUCUAGUCUCCUUCUCUCUGGGAUAUUUUCUAUACUUUUCAAAAGGUAAAAUGGAUCAUAUCACUCUCCUGUUUUAAAAUCUUCAGUGGUUCUCUCUCUUUUAUUUAUUUUUUAUUUUUAUUUAUUUUUUGUCUUUUUAGGCCCGCACCUACAGCAUAUGGAAGUUCCCAGGCUAGGGACAGAAUCAGAGCUGUAGCUGCUGACCUACCCCACAGCUCAUGGCAACACGGAUCCUUAACCCACUGAGCAAGGCCAGGGAUAGAACUCACAUCCUCAUGGACACUAGUCACGUUCGUUACUGCGGAGCUAAGAAGGGACCUCCCAUAAAAACUUCAGUGAGCUUUGGCCCUUAUAUCUCCAGGCUCAAUCUCACAGCAUCUGCCCCACAUUUUCCAUCCCCCAUACCCCAAGCCCAGGACCACCGAACCACCUGUAAGCACUGAGCACAUGUAUAUGCUUCAUCUCUCCCCGCUUUUGCACAAGCUAUUUUGUAAACUUCCUCUGAAGACACUGCUCUAAGCAUUUUACCUGACAGCAUCUUAAUCCUCACAACAACCAUAUGAAGUAAGUACUACUAGUCUCUCUAGUUUAUAGACAAUGAAACUGAGGCACAGAACAGAUAAAUGACUUGCUGGAGCUCAUACAGAUAUGUCGUAGCACUAGUUUUGAACCCCAAACUCUAGUUCCAGUCCGUCAUCAUAAAUAUUGUGCUGUACUAACCGACUUCACCUUGCUUUGCCACCGUGGUGCCCAUUCACCUGGUGAACUCUUUUUUUUUUUUUUAACCUGUUAAAGUCUUAUUCAUCCAUCACUACCCAACUCAAGCAUCACUCCCUCCAUGACACUUUCUCUGCUUCUUCAGUUAACCAGUCGCUUCCUUCCCAUCAUUGUCGUGGUGCCUUGGUCACACCCCCGGUAUUCUGUGUCCAUUAAAGAACCUGCCCAGCCCUGCACAAAGCUUAGACUAUACAUAAGAAUUUUAUCCUGCACCAUGGCAGUCCCCACAUUUAUUUCCUGAAUAAAUUGACUCAUAUGUACUUCUUUUUUGUCUCUUGAAAUCAAUUUACCAGCCCUCAUUCAUCCUCAGCCCCUUGCCCAACUUAGCCCUUCGCUUUGACACAUUGCUUAACUACUUCCUCAAAUCUCCCUUGAGUGACAUCUUUCCUGACCUCUCCCUCCUUUGACUGAAAACCCUUUCAUCAUGACCCUGGGGAGGUGCCACCAUGGGCGGCCAUCCCCGGAUGGGGCUGAUCCCCCAACUGGGUUCUAGACAGUUCAUAUUCAUUUGCUUUAGCUCUUUUCUUUGGCUUCACUAAGCUACCUCAUGGGGCAGGGGAGUUAUUGAAAGACUAGAUGUCUUACAGGAAAUCAGGAGAACUAAACAACCACGUCCAGGAAGACUAAGAACACUAGAAAGGUGGGACUGCGGCUCCUCAUGCUCAGUGCUUCAUCAUUGGCAUAACUCAGCUAAUAUCCACGAAGCCGCUUUUUCUAUUUCCCAUUAACAACUGGUUUAUUUCCCCCUGCUGUUCCACACAUUUUUUCCAAACGUCCUAACUUCUGAUUCUUCGCGGUGUCUGCUUCUUUGUAAUUUUGAUUUGCCAUAACCUCAUGAUUCUCUCCAUGUAAAUGUUCGACUUCAGCUCUUCCAAAUGCCUAGUUCACUUUGUGUUUCUAAUUUCAGUUUUCCCCAAAGCCGAAUGGUCCCAGCUCCUCUUUUCAUGACAUGUUAUGAAGCAUCGCUACUGUCCAUUCUAUGGAUUAGAAGUCUUUGAGUGCAGAACUAACCUCAAUCCAAAUAGCUGUGACAGUGGGCACAGGAUCGCACCAUGCAAAAAUUCACCAACUGUGCUGGACUUUCAGCAUAGGCAAUAAAUAGGGUGUUUUCCCUUAAAAAAAAAAAAAAAGUAUGGUAUAGAAUGUUCCAUGAUUCACACAUGGAGUAAUUUGGAUUAAUGAUUCUUUAAUAUUUUUCAACAUAGAUUUUUCCGAGAAUCAGAUGAAAGCUAUGGACCCUUCCCAAGAAAAAGUUCUCUUAUGCAGAAAAUUUCACAUAUACCUUUAGGAUAUCUGUGGACCCCAGCAG